UUCAUCGUUUUCCCGUCCUUGG
Molecule: non-coding RNA, 22 nt
Filed under: Arabidopsis thaliana (thale cress)
Lineage: Eukaryota; Viridiplantae; Streptophyta; Magnoliopsida; Brassicales; Brassicaceae
Source: RNAcentral